RNAcentral lists this ribosomal RNA (468 nucleotides) under uncultured bacterium. Its description in RNAcentral is "partial 16S ribosomal RNA". It matches the Rfam family "Bacterial small subunit ribosomal RNA", at positions 28 to 507 of the family's 1533-position model. The record is from RNAcentral.
GACGAACGCUGGCGGCGUGCUUAACACAUGCAAGUCGAACGGAAAGGCCCUGCUUUUGUGGGGUGCUCGAGUGGCGAACGGGUGAGUAACACGUGAGUAACCUGCCCUUGAGUUUGGGAUAACUUCAGGAAACUGGGGCUAAUACCGGAUAGGAACUCCUGCUGCAUGGUGGGGGUUGGAAAGUUUCGGCGGUUGGGGAUGGACUCGCGGCUUAUCAGCUUGUUGGUGGGGUAGUGGCUUACCAAGGCUUUGACGGGUAGCCGGCCUGAGAGGGUGACCGGCCACAUUGGGACUGAGAUACGGCCCAGACUCCUACGGGAGGCAGCAGUGGGGAAUAUUGCACAAUGGGCGGAAGCCUGAUGCAGCAACGCCGCGUGCGGGAUGACGGCCUUCGGGUUGUAAACCGCUUUCGCCUGUGACGAAGCGUGAGUGACGGUAAUGGGUAAAGAAGCACCGGCUAACUACGUG